GGCGAACGGGUGAGUAACACGUGGGCAAUCUGCCCUGCACUCUGGGACAAGCCCUGGAAACGGGGUCUAAUACCGGAUACGACCACUGAGGGCAUCCUCGGUGGUGGAAAGCUCCGGCGGUGCAGGAUGAGCCCGCGGCCUAUCAGCUUGUUGGUGGGGUGAUGGCCUACCAAGGCGACGACGGGUAGCCGGCCUGAGAGGGCGACCGGCCACACUGGGACUGAGACACGGCCCAGACUCCUACGGGAGGCAGCAGUGGGGAAUAUUGCACAAUGGGCGAAAGCCUGAUGCAGCGACGCCGCGUGAGGGAUGACGGCCUUCGGGUUGUAAACCUCUUUCAGCAGGGAAGAAGCGAGAGUGACGGUACCUGCAGAAGAAGCGCCGGCUAACUACGUGCCAGCAGCCGCGGUAAUACGUAGGGCGCGAGCGUUGUCCGGAAUUAUUGGGCGUAAAGAGCUCGUAGGCGGCUUGUCACGUCGGUUGUGAAAGCCCGGGGCUUAACCCCGGGUCUGCAGUCGAUACGGGCAGGCUAGAGUUCGGUA
Molecule: ribosomal RNA, 542 nt
Filed under: Streptomyces sp. MWW100
Lineage: Bacteria; Bacillati; Actinomycetota; Actinomycetes; Kitasatosporales; Streptomycetaceae
Also listed under: 2 other names
Description: bacterial SSU rRNA
Rfam family: Bacterial small subunit ribosomal RNA
Source: RNAcentral